AUUGAACGCUGGCGGAAUGCUUUACACAUGCAAGUCGAGCGGCAGCGCGGCCUUCGGGCUGGCGGCGAGCGGCGAACGGGUGAGUAAUGCAUCGGAACAUGCCCAGUCGUGGGGGAUAACACUUCGAAAGAAGUGCUAAUACCGCAUACGUCCUGAGGGGGAAAGCGGGGGAUCGCAAGACCUCGCGCGAUUGGAGUGGCCGAUGUCAGAUUAGCUAGUUGGUGGGGUAAAGGCCUACCAAGGCGACGAUCUGUAGCUGGUCUGAGAGGAUGAUCAGCCACACUGGGACUGAGACACGGCCCAGACUCCUACGGGAGGCAGCAGUGGGGAAUUUUGGACAAUGGGGGCAACCCUGAUCCAGCCAUUCCGCGUGAGUGAAGAAGGCCUUCGGGUUGUAAAGCUCUUUCGGCAGGAACGAAACGGUGGGCUCUAACAUAGUCCGCUAAUGACGGUACCUGAAGAAGAAGCACCGGCUAACUACGUA
This 484-nucleotide ribosomal RNA is filed under the name uncultured bacterium. Its description in RNAcentral is "partial 16S ribosomal RNA". It matches the Rfam family "Bacterial small subunit ribosomal RNA", at positions 30 to 507 of the family's 1533-position model. The record is from RNAcentral.